RNAcentral lists this RNase P RNA (289 nucleotides) under Methanobacteriota archaeon. RNAcentral's name for it is "Euryarchaeota archaeon RNase P RNA component". It matches the Rfam family "Archaeal RNase P". Rfam says of the family: Ribonuclease P (RNase P) is a ubiquitous endoribonuclease, found in archaea, bacteria and eukarya as well as chloroplasts and mitochondria. Its best characterised activity is the generation of mature 5'-ends of tRNAs by cleaving the 5'-leader elements of precursor-tRNAs. Lineage: Archaea; Methanobacteriati; Methanobacteriota. The record is from RNAcentral.
AGGAGAUGGAGGGCGACCGACGGUCUUAGGCUGAGGAAAGUCCCCUCUCCAUGAGCGAAGCAGCCGUAAGGGGCCCGAGAGGGUCGGCACUGAAACAGAAACGACACAGACCCAUCUUAUGGAAUGAUCGUCUAGGACGUGACGUCGAUGGAGGAUUUGGUGAAACGAACAUCCCUGCUGGAGCAAUUCCAAGUAACCGCAGCGACCUGCUCGGGAGCGGUAGGUAGGAAGCGUAGCUAAAUGUCGCCAACCGAUUAGGUUAACAGAAAGGGGCUUACUCCCAUCACCU